RNAcentral lists this ribosomal RNA (249 nucleotides) under uncultured bacterium. RNAcentral's name for it is "partial 16S ribosomal RNA". It matches the Rfam family "Bacterial small subunit ribosomal RNA", at positions 524 to 776 of the family's 1533-position model. The record is from RNAcentral.
UACAGAGGGUGCAAGCGUUAUCCGGAAUGAUUGGGCGUAAAGCGUCUGUAGGUGGCUUUUUAAGUCCGCCGUCAAAUCCCAGGGCUCAACCCUGGACAGGCGGUGGAAACUACCAAGCUGGAGUACGGUAGGGGCAGAGGGAAUUUCCGGUGGAGCGGUGAAAUGCGUAGAGAUGGAAAGACACCAAGCGAGAACACUCUGCUGGGCCGACACUGACACUGAGAGACGAAAGCUAGGGGAGCGAAUGGG